Molecule: ribosomal RNA, 354 nt
Filed under: Hynobius hidamontanus (Ochikura swamp salamander)
Lineage: Eukaryota; Metazoa; Chordata; Amphibia; Caudata; Hynobiidae
Description: partial 16S ribosomal RNA
Source: RNAcentral
GUAGUAAAUUUAGCCUACUUUACCUAAAUAAAUUAAUAAUACUUUCAACCAAUUAAAUAAAACAUUUUAUCAUUUUAGUAAAGGAGAUAGAAAAAUUUAUUAGCGCAAUAUAAAUAGUACUGCAAAGGAAAAAUGAAACAGAAAUUAAAUAAAUCAUAAAAACAAUAAAAAGCAAAGAUUUAACCUUAUACCUUUUGCAUCAUGGUCUAGUAAGUUUAACCUAACACAAAGAACUUAAGUUAGACAUCCCGAAACUAAACGAGCUACUACGAAGCAGCAAAACGAGCCAACCCUUCUCUGUGACAAAAGAGUGGGAUGACUUCCUAGUAGAGGUGAUAAGCCUAACGAGUCUAG